Molecule: ribosomal RNA, 253 nt
Filed under: uncultured bacterium
Lineage: Bacteria
Description: partial 16S ribosomal RNA
Rfam family: Bacterial small subunit ribosomal RNA
Source: RNAcentral
UACGUAGGGGGCGAGCGUUGUCCGGAGUUACUGGGCGUAAAGAGUGUGUAGGCGGUGCUCUAAGUUUGGUGUGAAAUCUCCCGGCUCAACUGGGAGGGUGCGCCGAAAACUGGAAUGCUUGAACAUGGGAGAGGAAAGCGGAAUUCCUGGUGUAGCGGUGAAAUGCGUAGAUAUCAGGAGGAACACCUGCGGUGUAGACGGCUUUCUGGACCAUUGUUGACGCUGAGACACGAAAGCGUGGGUAGCAAACAGG